GAUGAACGCUGGCGGCGUGCCUAAUACAUGCAAGUCGAGCGAACGGACGAGAAGCUUGCUUCUCUGAUGUUAGCGGCGGACGGGUGAGUAACACGUGGAUAACCUACCUAUAAGACUGGGAUAACUUCGGGAAACCGGAGCUAAUACCGGAUAAUAUUUUGAACCGCAUGGUUCAAAAGUGAAAGACGGUCUUGCUGUCACUUAUAGCUGGAUCCGCGCUGCAUUAGCUAGUUGGUAAGGUAACGGCUUACCAAGGCAACGAUGCAUAGCCGACCUGAGAGGGUGAUCGGCCACACUGGAACUGAGACACGGUCCAGACUCCUACGGGAGGCAGCAGUAGGGAAUCUUCCGCAAUGGGCGAAAGCCUGACGGAGCAACGCCGCGUGAGUGAUGAAGGUCUUCGGAUCGUAAAACUCUGUUAUUAGGGAAGAACAUAUGUGUAAGUAACUGUGCACAUCUUGACGGUACCUAAUCAGAAAGCCACGGCUAACUACGU
Molecule: ribosomal RNA, 496 nt
Filed under: uncultured bacterium
Lineage: Bacteria
Description: partial 16S ribosomal RNA
Rfam family: Bacterial small subunit ribosomal RNA
Source: RNAcentral